Long non-coding RNA from Cornus florida, 1387 nucleotides. RefSeq lists it as uncharacterized. The record is from RefSeq and is a predicted model, not a curated record. The transcript has 2 exons. NCBI's taxonomy places the organism in Eukaryota, Viridiplantae, Streptophyta, Magnoliopsida, Cornales, Cornaceae.
UUGCCAAAAAAAAAUAAUAAUAAUAAAUAAAUAAAAAUUAGGGCAAAUCAUUUCAGCCUCCCUAAUCCUCCAUCUCUAUUACAUAUAUAUAUAUAUAAAAUCUUUAACUUGAGGCCAUAAGAAAAGAAAAAUAAAAAAAUAGGCCAAAGCCUCCCCAAUCUCGCUCCAUCUCUGCAACUCCUUCUCAACACUGAACUUGGCCUCUCUCUCUCUCUCUCUCUCUCUCUCUACAAGAAUCAGAAAUUCAAAACCCAUAUAUUUCCAGUUUAUCUAUCUGUUUGCAAGAAUCAAAAGUUCAAACCCGUAUCGAUGUAUCAUUUCAGAUUGUUCAGAAAAUCCAAAACCCAUAUCCUUCAGUUUCCAUGGCUGCUGUUCCAGUUCGGGUCGCCGUUCCAAGCUUCAAUCACCGGCGGUCUCUCUCUCUCUCUCUGCAAUCUUGAGGGUAAAAUUAGCAUCUGAAAUCACCCAUCAAGCCUCUCCUUCCCUUUCCCUUCAUUUCCUCCCAUUUUUGGGAGGUUAAGAAAUCUACUGUUGAAGGCACAAGCUAACCCUCCAAACCCUUCCCUUCACUUCCCUUUCCUUCCAACAAUUUUUGCCAAACACACAUUUUUAAUCCCCCUCCAUCACCUUCCCUUCCCUUUCCUUUCCUCCCUUUUCUACUCUACCAAACUGAUCCUUAGGUAAAGGCCCCAAAAAUCAGAAACCAUGACUUCGUUAAAACUCUCCCUGAGCUUUUCCAACUAAAGUAUGUCCCGUGCCAUUAAAAAAUUUAAAUCACGAAAAUAACCUUAUUAUCUUCAUUUUAUCCUGUAUUUAAGCUUUGUACUCAUCUUCUUCUUAUUCUCCGUCGUCCCAUUCAAUCCAUCAAUGGACUCAAUCGAUUCAGUCCUUCACAUGAUCGUCUCCCUAUUUUGUCUCCACAUUUCAUCUCUGACAUUUGGUCAGAACCCAAACCAAUUCUUCAAAAUUUCUACAAAUGUUUAUGAACAGGAACUGAAAAUGAUGAAAACCCUAAACUUCUUGUUUGGGGAUUAGAUUCGAAGAUGGGCAAAGAAGUGAUCGAAAAUGGGUGAAUACAAAAGAGGGCGGCGACGAAGUCAGAGUGUCGGAGUGGGAGGUGGGUUCGCCGAGUGCUGAGAUUUCUCUUUUUCAGAAACUUUUCUCGCCCACGUCGGCGAUGGUUGGCAUGAAUCAGGCAUUCAUCCAGUCUUUUGGUAAUCGUCGCUCCCUCAGUCCUUUUACACGGGUUGGGUUCGAUCUUUAACUCGCGAGUGUGGCCCUUGUUUGUGCCAUAGCAGGUGACUUAUCACUAUAUUUUUUGAACUAAAUCACAUAAACUAUUUGUGUUCUUGUAUAAUAUUUUGAUUUGUCUAUUAAUUUUUCUCUA